GACCCCAGGUCAGGCGGGGCUACCCGCUGAAUUUAAGCAUAUCAAUAAGCGGAGGAAAAG
This 60-nucleotide ribosomal RNA is filed under the name Dianthus sp. cdK73. RNAcentral's name for it is "partial 26S ribosomal RNA". It matches the Rfam family "Eukaryotic large subunit ribosomal RNA", at positions 1 to 61 of the family's 3401-position model. The record is from RNAcentral. Lineage: Eukaryota; Viridiplantae; Streptophyta; Magnoliopsida; Caryophyllales; Caryophyllaceae.